Rosa rugosa (rugosa rose) is the source of this 1399-nucleotide long non-coding RNA. RefSeq lists it as uncharacterized. The record is from RefSeq and is a predicted model, not a curated record. Lineage: Eukaryota; Viridiplantae; Streptophyta; Magnoliopsida; Rosales; Rosaceae. The transcript has 3 exons.
UUGGGUGUGCUGUUGUCUGCAAUUGCUGUGUGCCAAAAAGGCUGAAAACUUAAACUUCCCUCCUUGUAGAAGAAAAAGCCAAUCUCAAAAAGUUGAAACUUUAAUUGUCACACAAGCUCUCCUCCCUCUGCAAAAACCUCGAGCACCUACACCUCUCCUCCCUCAGCACCGAACUCUACUGCGCCUCUGCCUCUUCCUCUUCCUCCUCGUCGACCCCUCGAAUUCCGUUCAGAUCCAGUCACCAGAAGGCUUUUCUCCCACCGCUUCGACCUCUGCCUCCUCCAUCAACCCCGACUUUCUCUUCGGAUUCGACAAGGGAUACGCCUGAUUCCGUUCCAAAAUUGCUUGAUUCCAUCCCUCCUCCGAUGGUUCCUGAUUCUCUUUUGAAGGCAUUCCCAAUGACAACGUCACUAUAGUUCAACAAGGCAAGAAUCCCGGCGACCCGAUCAUUGUCAAGGUCAAUUGCCUUGACGAGGCCCUGCAUCGGCUGCGACCUCUGUAGAAUUGUGCUCCAGUUCGGCCUUUGCAUUACCAAAGGAGGGAUGUAAUAGGUGAAGGGGAAACAAAUGGAGGACAUCCUGAUAUUAAGAGCAUGAAAUAAGUGAAGUUGCGGAAACGAGAAGAAAUUACGCGAAAAUGAGAGCAAUUCGUGACUUUCGACAAAAGGACAAAAUUAUGGAUGCCUUAAUUAACCAAUUAAGCAUGGUUUAAUUAAUCAAUGAAGUAUUGGUUAAUUAGCUACUUAAUUCAACAUGCAUGCACGUUUGGUACCAUUAAUUGGUAUGACCAAUUAGGAGCUGACAUGUGGCAUUGAGCAUUCAAAUUAUGCAAAGACUAAUCACGUGGGAUGCGAUCAGAAGCAUUUUUUCUUCCUUUGUCUUGACUUUGAAAACGCACCGCAUCGUCCCAGACCCCUUAUCCUUUUCUCUUCUAUCUCAAGCAGUGGCCACGACAAUUAAUAUAAAUACCCUCUUCAUCUUAUUCUCUGGAGAGAACCCUACGGAGAGACAACACGGAACAGCCGCAGCUUGGGGAGGGCUGCUGCCCUUCCUCCCCUCCUUCACUAUUUUCCAGAUUUUUGUUAGUUUUAUUUUAGAGAAUUGAAGAAUUACUCACCUAAAACUUCAAGGAUUCAUCAAAGGCAUCUACCUCUACAAGAUUCAAAACUUGGGUAAUUGUGGGAGUUGUAAUUCAAGACUAGUCAUGCUAGCUUUUUAGCUAUUUGUGAUUAAUCUUGUUUUCUCCUACACUUCUAUACUCUUUUCCCUUUGAAUUUUGUAUCUUUGAUGUUCAUAAUUAUGGGUUGUGAGUAAUUUCCUUGUUGGGGUUUAGGGUUGUGUCCCUAACCCAAAUUUUGUGUAAAAGAUGCUUAUUUUAAUGUAAUGAUGCAAUUUUCAUA